RNAcentral lists this small RNA (81 nucleotides) under human gut metagenome. RNAcentral describes it as "GA-cis RNA". It matches the Rfam family "GA-cis RNA". The record is from RNAcentral.
GGAGGGCGCAUAUGAACCUAUGGUUCAUAUUUAGGAUGCGCCCGACAACCUGCCACAGAGCAGAGCGAUGUGGCGAUACCC